AUAUAGAUAAAAUAAUAAUUAGCCAUGAACUGAGUGAUUUUGCGGGAUGGACUUAAAAUUCUUUCUCCACCAGAAGUGUUUAUGAUCGAUUGAAAAAUCACAGAAAAAGGAAAUCUUUAAGAAAAGAAGUGGAAACAAAAUCUCCUCUGAUCCUUCAUAAUAGUAUGCAAUACACACGGGAAGGAUGUGUGCCGAAAAUACUGGAAUCAACUGUAAAUGCCGGCUACUCCUACUUUAUCCGUAACUUUAUUAACGCUGUAAAAUGUAUGGUUAAUUUGAUAAAAUCUCUCAUGAAGCGGCAGGCAUUUUAAAGGAGUAAAGGAGCGGCCAAAUAGCAAUUAUUGGAGAAUUUACCGACGCUAAACUUCGCAGGUAUUCACAUUCAGCAGGUCAGAAUUUGCGAACUACAUAUACUAGUAGAAACUGCUCUUAUGUGUAAUUGAAGUCAACGAUUUCGUGUUGAAGAUUCAUCAAAAUACAGCAUCGUAAUAUGCCUUUGUGACUUUCAGAAAAAUUUCUCCGUUAAACCUAUGAGCAAGAAGCAAAAACAGUCA
Long non-coding RNA from Glossina fuscipes, 554 nucleotides. RefSeq lists it as uncharacterized. NCBI's taxonomy places the organism in Eukaryota, Metazoa, Arthropoda, Insecta, Diptera, Glossinidae. The transcript has 3 exons. The record is from RefSeq and is a predicted model, not a curated record.